This 658-nucleotide ribosomal RNA is filed under the name uncultured Lactococcus sp. Its description in RNAcentral is "bacterial SSU rRNA". It matches the Rfam family "Bacterial small subunit ribosomal RNA", at positions 28 to 669 of the family's 1533-position model. The record is from RNAcentral. Lineage: Bacteria; Bacillati; Bacillota; Bacilli; Lactobacillales; Streptococcaceae.
GACGAACGCUGGCGGCGUGCCUAAUACAUGCAAGUUGAGCGCUGAAGGUUGGUACUUGUACCGACUGGAUGAGCAGCGAACGGGUGAGUAACGCGUGGGGAAUCUGCCUUUGAGCGGGGGACAACAUUUGGAAACGAAUGCUAAUACCGCAUAAAAACUUUAAACACAAGUUUUAAGUUUGAAAGAUGCAAUUGCAUCACUCAAAGAUGAUCCCGCGUUGUAUUAGCUAGUUGGUGAGGUAAAGGCUCACCAAGGCGAUGAUACAUAGCCGACCUGAGAGGGUGAUCGGCCACAUUGGGACUGAGACACGGCCCAAACUCCUACGGGAGGCAGCAGUAGGGAAUCUUCGGCAAUGGACGAAAGUCUGACCGAGCAACGCCGCGUGAGUGAAGAAGGGUUUCGGAUCGUAAAACUCUGUUGGUAGAGAAGAACGUUGGUGAGAGUGGAAAGCUCAUCAGGUGACGGUAACUACCCAGAAAGGGACGGCUAACUACGUGCCAGCAGCCGCGGUAAUACGUAGGUCCCGAGCGUUGUCCGGAUUUAUUGGGCGUAAAGCGAGCGCAGGUGGUUUAUUAAGUCUGGUGUAAAAGGCAGUGGCUCAACCAUUGUAUGCAUUGGAAACUGGUAGACUUGAGUGCAGGAGAGGAGAGUGGAAUUC